RNAcentral lists this transfer RNA (76 nucleotides) under Rhizobiaceae bacterium. RNAcentral's name for it is "tRNA-Cys". It matches the Rfam family "tRNA". From Rfam's summary of the family: Transfer RNA (tRNA) molecules are approximately 80 nucleotides in length. The record is from RNAcentral. Lineage: Bacteria; Pseudomonadati; Pseudomonadota; Alphaproteobacteria; Hyphomicrobiales; Rhizobiaceae.
GGCCUCGUGGCGGAAUGACCACGCGGAGGACUGCAAAUCCUCAUAUCCUUGGUUCGACUCCAGGGCGAGGCCUCCA